Molecule: ribosomal RNA, 482 nt
Filed under: uncultured bacterium
Lineage: Bacteria
Description: partial 16S ribosomal RNA
Rfam family: Bacterial small subunit ribosomal RNA
Source: RNAcentral
AUUGAACGCUGGCGGCAUGCCUUACACAUGCAAGUCGAACGGUAACAGGUCUUCGGACGCUGACGAGUGGCGAACGGGUGAGUAAUACAUCGGAACGUGCCCGAUCGUGGGGGAUAACGAGGCGAAAGCUUUGCUAAUACCGCAUACGAUCUACGGAUGAAAGCGGGGGAUCUUCGGACCUCGCGCGGACGGAGCGGCCGAUGGCAGAUUAGGUAGUUGGUGGGAUAAAAGCUUACCAAGCCGACGAUCUGUAGCUGGUCUGAGAGGAUGAUCAGCCACACUGGGACUGAGACACGGCCCAGACUCCUACGGGAGGCAGCAGUGGGGAAUGUUGGACAAUGGGCGAAAGCCUGAUCCAGCCAUGCCGCGUGCAGGAUGAAGGCCUUCGGGUUGUAAACUGCUUUUGUACGGAACGAAAAGCCUCUUUCUAAUAAAGAGGGGUCAUGACGGUACCGUAAGAAUAAGCACCGGCUAACUACGUG